UGGCACCCGGCCCAGGGAUUUCUUAAUUCCGGCCGAUUGAAAGGGGAAAAAGCUCAAAAUUUGAAAAUCUGAUUUUUUUAGGGUCCGACUUGGAAAAUUUGUAGAAGGUGUUUGGGGUGUGGGCUCCGGUUUUAAGUUCUUUUGGGAUAUUACAUCAUAGAGGGGAGAAUCCCGUAGGUGACCGGCAGCCUUUCGCCUAUGUGAAAUCUUUUCGACGAGUCGAGUUGUUUGGGGAAUGCAGCUCAAAAUGGGAGGUAUAUUUCUUCUAAAAGCUAAAUAUUGGCCAGAGACCGAUAGCGCACAAGUAGAGUGAUCGAAAGAUGAAAAGCACUUUGGAAAGAGAGUUAAACAGUACGUGAAAUUGUUGAAAGGGAAGCGCUUGCAACCAGACUUGCACGCAGUUGAUCAUCCGGUGUUCUCACCGGGGCACUCUGCUGCGUUCAGGCCAGCAUCGGUUUUGGUGGUUGGAUAAAGGCCUUGGGAAUGUGGCUUCCUUCGGGGAGUGUUAUAGCCCUCGGUGCAAUGCAG
This 528-nucleotide ribosomal RNA is filed under the name uncultured fungus. Its description in RNAcentral is "eukaryotic LSU rRNA". It matches the Rfam family "Eukaryotic large subunit ribosomal RNA", at positions 56 to 578 of the family's 3401-position model. Lineage: Eukaryota; Fungi. The record is from RNAcentral.